GGUCGGGUGGUGUAGUUGGUUAUCACAUCUCGUUAACAGCUCAUAACUGUGACAAAAUACCGAGAAGGUCCUGGGGUAAGUCAGACUA
This is a non-coding RNA of Acephala macrosclerotiorum, 88 nucleotides long. Lineage: Eukaryota; Fungi; Ascomycota; Leotiomycetes; Helotiales; Mollisiaceae. The record is from the annotation of a GenBank genome assembly.